AUGAGAGAAUAUAAGAAAGACAAGAGGCAAAAUCCGGAGUUCACAUCGAAACUUCCCGUCUACCACGCCUCUGAUUUACACCCUCCUUCCACGAUUAUAUGCUCGAAUUUGCUUGCUUUCACCGUCACAGAACAAUUAUCUACAAACCACCAUGAUCUCAAAAUCCAAAUCAAACCAACAACACUUUCUAAUCAGAAAACAAAGAAGAAGUUGAAAACUGAAGCAACCUGA
Non-coding RNA from Vicia faba (fava bean), 231 nucleotides. The record is from the annotation of a GenBank genome assembly. Lineage: Eukaryota; Viridiplantae; Streptophyta; Magnoliopsida; Fabales; Fabaceae.